Molecule: ribosomal RNA, 429 nt
Filed under: Gemmatimonadota bacterium
Lineage: Bacteria; Pseudomonadati; Gemmatimonadota
Description: Gemmatimonadetes bacterium partial 16S ribosomal RNA
Rfam family: Bacterial small subunit ribosomal RNA
Source: RNAcentral
UAGGGAAUCUUCGGCAAUGGACGAAAGUCUGACCGAGCAACGCCGCGUGAGUGAAGAAGGUUUUCGGACCGUAAAACUCUGUUGUUAGAGAAGAACAAGGACGUUAGUAACUGAACGUCCCCUGACGGUAUCUAACCAGAAAGCCACGGCUAACUACGUGCCAGCAGCCGCGGUAAUACGUAGGUGGCAAGCGUUGUCCGGAUUUAUUGGGCGUAAAGCGAGCGCAGGCGGUUUCUUAAGUCUGAUGUGAAAGCCCCCGGCUCAACCGGGGAGGGUCAUUGGAAACUGGGAGAAUUGAGUGCAGAAGAGGAGAGUGGAAUUCCAUGUGUAGCGGUGAAAUGCGUAGAUAUAUGGAGGAACACCAGUGGCGAAGGCGGCUCUCUGGGCUGUAACUGACGCUGAGGAUCGAAAGCGUGGGGAGCAAACAGG